This 366-nucleotide ribosomal RNA is filed under the name uncultured bacterium. Its description in RNAcentral is "bacterial SSU rRNA". It matches the Rfam family "Bacterial small subunit ribosomal RNA", at positions 37 to 433 of the family's 1533-position model. The record is from RNAcentral.
UGGCGGCAGGCUUAACNCAUGCAAGUCGAACGCCCCGCAAGGGGAGUGGCAGACGGGUGAGUAACGCGUGGGAACGUACCCUUUACUACGGAAUAACUCAGGGAAACUUGUGCUAAUACCGUAUGUGCCCUUCGGGGGAAAGAUUUAUCGGUAAAGGAUCGGCCCGCGUUGGAUUAGCUAGUUGGUGGGGUAAAGGCCUACCAAGGCGACGAUCCAUAGCUGGUCUGAGAGGAUGAUCAGCCACAUUGGGACUGAGACACGGCCCAAACUCCUACGGGAGGCAGCAGUGGGGAAUAUUGGACAAUGGGCGCAAGCCUGAUCCAGCCAUGCCGCGUGAGUGAUGAAGGCCCUAGGGUUGUAAAGCUC